CAAGACAAAACAACUACAAUGAACAACAUCAUCAUCCUCAUCUGGACACUCACACUGUUUGCUCGAGAGUGUAGAGGACAGAUCACUGUAACUCAGAGUCCAUCAUUAAUAACAGCAGCUCAAGGACAAGAAGCCAGAAUAAACUGUAAAACCAGCAGCAGAGUGUAUGGUGGUGAUGAGUUACACUGGUACUUACAGAAACCUGGAGAAGCUCCUAAACUCCUCAUAUAUGCUGCAUCAAACCGUUACACUGGAACUCCAUCUAGAUUCAGUGGCAGUGGAUCUGACAGUGAUUUCACUCUCACCAUCAGUGGAGUCCAGACUGAAGAUACAGGAGAUUACUACUGUCAGAGUGUACACAGCAGUGGUAGCUAUGUGUUCACACAGUGAUAAAGAGUCGUACAAAAACCUCCGUCAGUCAGAGUCACAGUGACUGCACUGAUACAGCUGAGAGAUACUGCAGCAGCUGAUGGAUGUGAAUCAUCUCAAUCACUCUUAGAUCAUUAUAUUAUAAUGCAGUACAAUACAAUAUAUUACAAUAAAUUACACAUUGAUCUGAUAAUGAAUUAAAUCUGUACUGGUUAGGUUAAUCGCUAUGAUGGCUGAACUAAAAAGGCUUAACUCUCAACAUCUCAAAAAACCAUCCACUGUCCACAGCAUUGCAGUCAAAAACUGAAUUAACCUUUGUUAUAUUUUAAAAUAAAAUACUGUAACACUUUUAAGGACCAAUUCUCACUAUUAAUUAGCAUGCAUGUUACCAUUGUCUCUUCAUUAGUACUUAUAAAGCACAUUUUAAUGCCUUAUUCUGCAUGACCAUAUUACAUCCUUGCAUCCUACCCCAUAACUAUUAAUAAACAGCAAAUUAAGAGUUUAUUCAGGCAAAUGUCAUAUUUAAUAGUUGGUUUAAUACUUAAAAUAAAGUUUUCUCUGGUUUGUACAAAGUUAAUUUUGACCUGUGUUGUGGUUAGUUUAAUCACUAUAGAGGCUGAACAAAAUAUAGUCUUGAUGCUGAACAUCCCAAAAUAUCAUCCAUUGUCCACAGAGUUGCAGUCAAAAACUGAAUUAACUGAAUUAUUAUAUUUAAAAAUUAAAAUACAAAGAAUCAAACCAUGUAGAUGGUGUCUGUGCAGCAGCACGUCAGGCUGUG
Molecule: non-coding RNA, 1147 nt
Organism: Onychostoma macrolepis
Lineage: Eukaryota; Metazoa; Chordata; Actinopteri; Cypriniformes; Cyprinidae
Source: the annotation of a RefSeq genome assembly